GACGAACGCUGGCGGCGUGCUUAACACAUGCAAGUCGAACGCUGAAGCUUGGUGCUUGCACUGGGUGGAUGAGUAGCGAACGGGUGAGUAAUACGUGAGUAACCUGCCCUUGACUCUGGGAUAAGCCUGGGAAACUGGGUCUAAUACUGGAUAUGACAUGCCACUGCAUGGUGGUGUGUGGAAAGGGUUUUACUGGUUUUGGAUGGGCUCACGGCCUAUCAGCUUGUUGGUGGGGUAAUGGCCUACCAAGGCGACGACGGGUAGCCGGCCUGAGAGGGUGACCGGCCACACUGGGACUGAGACACGGCCCAGACUCCUACGGGAGGCAGCAGUGGGGAAUAUUGCACAAUGGGCGGAAGCCUGAUGCAGCGACGCCGCGUGAGGGAUGACGGCCUUCGGGUUGUAAACCUCUUUCAGCACGGAAGAAGCGAGAGUGACGGUACGUGCAGAAGAAGCGCCGGCUAACUACGUG
Molecule: ribosomal RNA, 472 nt
Filed under: uncultured bacterium
Lineage: Bacteria
Description: partial 16S ribosomal RNA
Rfam family: Bacterial small subunit ribosomal RNA
Source: RNAcentral